AACGAACGCUGGCGGCAUGCCUAACACAUGCAAGUCGAACGAGACCUUCGGGUCUAGUGGCGCACGGGUGCGUAACGCGUGGGAACCUGCCCUUAGGUUCGGAAUAACUCCCCGAAAGGGGUGCUAAUACCGGAUAAUGUCUUCGGACCAAAGAUUUAUCGCCUUUGGAUGGGCCCGCGUUGGAUUAGCUAGUUGGUAGGGUAAAAGCCUACCAAGGCGACGAUCCAUAGCUGGUCUGAGAGGAUGAUCAGCCACACUGGGACUGAGACACGGCCCAGACUCCUACGGGAGGCAGCAGUGGGGAAUAUUGGACAAUGGGCGAAAGCCUGAGCCAGCAAUGCCGCGUGAGUGAUGAAGGCCUUAGGGUUGUAAAGCUCUUUUACCCGGGAUGAUAAUGGCAGUACCGGGAGAAUAAGCUCCGGCUAACUCCGUG
This 433-nucleotide ribosomal RNA is filed under the name uncultured bacterium. RNAcentral describes it as "partial 16S ribosomal RNA". It matches the Rfam family "Bacterial small subunit ribosomal RNA", at positions 29 to 507 of the family's 1533-position model. The record is from RNAcentral.